Molecule: ribosomal RNA, 766 nt
Filed under: uncultured Granulicatella sp.
Lineage: Bacteria; Bacillati; Bacillota; Bacilli; Lactobacillales; Carnobacteriaceae
Description: bacterial SSU rRNA
Rfam family: Bacterial small subunit ribosomal RNA
Source: RNAcentral
GACGAACGCUGGCGGCGUGCCUAAUACAUGCAAGUCGAACGAGAGCGACCGGUGCUUGCACUGGUCAAUCUAGUGGCGAACGGGUGAGUAACACGUGGGUAACCUGCCCAUCAGAGGGGGAUAACAUCCGGAAACGGAUGCUAAAACCGCAUAGGUCUUCGAGCCGCAUGGCUUGAAGAGGAAAAGAGGCGCAAGCUUCUGCUGAUGGAUGGACCCGCGGUGCAUUAGCUAGUUGGUGAGGUAACGGCUCACCAAGGCCGUGAUGCAUAGCCGACCUGAGAGGGUGAUCGGCCACAUUGGGACUGAGACACGGCCCAAACUCCUACGGGAGGCAGCAGUAGGGAAUCUUCCGCAAUGGACGCAAGUCUGACGGAGCAACGCCGCGUGAGUGAAGAAGGUUUUCGGAUCGUAAAACUCUGUUGUUAGAGAAGAACAAGUGCUAGAGUAACUGUUAGCGCCUUGACGGUAUCUAACCAGAAAGCCACGGCUAACUACGUGCCAGCAGCCGCGGUAAUACGUAGGUGGCAAGCGUUGUCCGGAUUUAUUGGGCGUAAAGCGAGCGCAGGCGGUUCCUUAAGUCUGAUGUGAAAGCCCCCGGCUCAACCGGGGAGGGUCAUUGGAAACUGGGGAACUUGAGUGCAGAAGAGGAGAGUGGAAUUCCAUGUGUAGCGGUGAAAUGCGUAGAUAUAUGGAGGAACACCAGUGGCGAGGCGACUCUCUGGUCUGUAACUGACGCUGAGGCUCGAAAGCGUGGGUAGCAAACAGG